Molecule: ribosomal RNA, 446 nt
Filed under: uncultured Caulobacter sp.
Lineage: Bacteria; Pseudomonadati; Pseudomonadota; Alphaproteobacteria; Caulobacterales; Caulobacteraceae
Description: bacterial SSU rRNA
Rfam family: Bacterial small subunit ribosomal RNA
Source: RNAcentral
AACGUGGCGGCGCCCUACACUUACAAGUCGAACGGAUCUCCGGGAUUAUAGGCGGACGGGUGAGUAUGGGAACGUGCCCUUUGGUUCGGAACAACUCAGGGAAACUUGAGCUAAUACCGGAUGUGCCCUUCGGGGGAAAGAUUUAUCGCCAUUGGAGCGGCCCGCGUCUGAUUAGCUAGUUGGUGGGGUAAAGGCCCACCAAGGCGACGAUCAGUAGCUGGUCUGAGAGGAUGAUCAGCCACAUUGGGACUGAGACACGGCCCAAACUCCUACGGGAGGCAGCAGUGGGGAAUCUUGCGCAAUGGGCGAAAGCCUGACGCAGCCAUGCCGCGUGAAUGAUGAAGGUCUUAGGAUUGUAAAUUUUUCCCGGGGACGAUAUGACGCCCGGAAAAAGCCCGGUACUCGUGCCAGAGCGCGUAUACACGGGGUAGCUUGUCGGAUACUGG